AGAGUUUGAUCCUGGCUCAGAGUGAACGCUGGCGGCAGGCCUAACACAUGCAAGUCGAACGGCAGCACAGCAGUAGCAAUACUGUGGGUGGCGAGUGGCGGACGGGUGAGGAAUGCGUCGGAAUCUGCCUAUUUGUGGGGGAUAACGUAGGGAAACUUACGCUAAUACCGCAUACGACCUACGGGUGAAAGUGGGGGACCUUCGGGCCUCACGCAGAUAGAUGAGCCGACGCCGGAUUAGCUAGUUGGCGGGGUAAAGGCCCACCAAGGCGACGAUCCGUAGCUGGUCUGAGAGGAUGAUCAGCCACACUGGGACUGAGACACGGCCCAGACUCCUACGGGAGGCAGCAGUGGGGAAUAUUGGACAAUGGGCGCAAGCCUGAUCCAGCCAUGCCGCGUGUGUGAAGAAGGCCUUCGGGUUGUAAAGCACUUUUGUCCGGGAAAAGAAAUCCUUUCGAUUAAUAACUUCGGGAGGGAUGACGUACCGGAA
RNAcentral lists this ribosomal RNA (489 nucleotides) under uncultured bacterium. RNAcentral describes it as "bacterial SSU rRNA". It matches the Rfam family "Bacterial small subunit ribosomal RNA", at positions 8 to 483 of the family's 1533-position model. The record is from RNAcentral.